RNAcentral lists this ribosomal RNA (839 nucleotides) under uncultured Intrasporangiaceae bacterium. Its description in RNAcentral is "bacterial SSU rRNA". It matches the Rfam family "Bacterial small subunit ribosomal RNA", at positions 67 to 902 of the family's 1533-position model. The record is from RNAcentral. Lineage: Bacteria; Bacillati; Actinomycetota; Actinomycetes; Micrococcales; Intrasporangiaceae.
CGGUGAUGAGGGGCUUGCUCCUCUGAUCAGUGGCGAACGGGUGAGUAACACGUGAGUAACCUGCCCUUCACUCUGGGAUAACGCUGGGAAACUGGUGCUAAUACUGGAUAUGACCUGCUCGGGCAUCCGAUGUGGGUGGAAAGAUUUAUUGGUGGGGGAUGGACUCGCGGCCUAUCAGCUUGUUGGUGAGGUAAUGGCUCACCAAGGCGACGACGGGUAGCCGGCCUGAGAGGGCGAUCGGCCACACUGGGACUGAGACACGGCCCAGACUCCUACGGGAGGCAGCAGUGGGGAAUAUUGCACAAUGGGCGAAAGCCUGAUGCAGCGACGCCGCGUGAGGGAUGAAGGCCUUCGGGUUGUAAACCUCUUUCAGCAGGGAAGAAGCGUCCGGGUUUUCUUGGGUGUGACGGUACCUGCAGAAGAAGCACCGGCUAACUACGUGCCAGCAGCCGCGGUAAUACGUAGGGUGCAAGCGUUGUCCGGAAUUAUUGGGCGUAAAGAGCUUGUAGGCGGUUUGUCGCGUCUGCUGUGAAAUUUCGGGGCUCAACCCCGAACUUGCAGUGGGUACGGGCAGACUAGAGUGUGGUAGGGGAGACUGGAAUUCCUGGUGUAGCGGUGAAAUGCGCAGAUAUCAGGAGGAACACCGAUGGCGAAGGCAGGUCUCUGGGUCACUACUGACGCUGAGAAGCGAAAGCAUGGGGAGCGAACAGGAUUAGAUACCCUGGUAGUCCAUGCCGUAAACGUUGGGAACUAGGUGUGGGCCUCAUUCCACGAGGUCCGUGCCGCAGCUAACGCAUUAAGUUCCCCGCCUGGGGAGUACGGCCGCAAGGCUAAAACUC